GAUCAUGGCUCAGGACGAACGCUGGCGGCGUGCUUAACACAUGCAAGUCGAACGCUGAAGCUCAGCUUUUGUUGGGUGGAUGAGUGGCGAACGGGUGAGUAACACGUGAGUAACCUGCCCCCUUCUUUGGGAUAACGCCCGGAAACGGGUGCUAAUACUGGAUAUUCACUUGCCUUCGCAUGGGGGUUGGUGGAAAGGGUUUUUUCUGGUGGGGGAUGGGCUCGCGGCCUAUCAGCUUGUUGGUGGGGUGAUGG
This 254-nucleotide ribosomal RNA is filed under the name uncultured bacterium. RNAcentral's name for it is "partial 16S ribosomal RNA". It matches the Rfam family "Bacterial small subunit ribosomal RNA", at positions 15 to 263 of the family's 1533-position model. The record is from RNAcentral.